CCCAUACUGGCCCUCGCGCCGGCCGUCGCUCUGUAGUCUCAAGAAGUUCUUGUCAUCUGGGGGGAGACACAUCCAAACACAGCCGAUCUCUCUGCUACCACUAUUAAGGAUAAUAAUUACAACUCAAAAUUGCACGCGGCCGCCUCACAGGUGACAAAGCACUCUGGUAUGUAUUAUCUCAUCUCAUCCUGGCUCUUUGCUGGCGAGCUAAGACUUCCCCGUGUUACUCCGCACACCAUGGAGAAACCAAGAAAGGUUAAAUAAAGCAAUUUGUCCAA
This is a long non-coding RNA of Peromyscus leucopus (white-footed mouse), 278 nucleotides long. RefSeq lists it as uncharacterized. The transcript is spliced from 2 exons. The record is from RefSeq and is a predicted model, not a curated record. NCBI's taxonomy places the organism in Eukaryota, Metazoa, Chordata, Mammalia, Rodentia, Cricetidae.